Molecule: ribosomal RNA, 405 nt
Filed under: uncultured bacterium
Lineage: Bacteria
Description: partial 16S ribosomal RNA
Rfam family: Bacterial small subunit ribosomal RNA
Source: RNAcentral
AUUGAACGCUGGCGGCCGGCUUAACACAUGCAAGUCCAACGAGUGGCGGACGGGUGAGUGAUGCUUGGGAAUCUAGCUUAUGGAGGGGGAUAACUACGGGAAACUGUAGCUAAUACCGCGUACCCUAGGAUGUGCCCAAGUGGGAUUAGGUGGUUGGUGAGGUAAAGGAUCACCAAGCAGACGAUCUCUCGCUGGUCUGAGAGGCAGACCAGGCAAGCUGGGACUGAGACACGGCACAGACUCCUACGGGAGGCAGCAGUGGGGAAUAUUGCGCAAUGGGGGCAACCUGAAGUAGCCAUGCCGCGUGAAUGAAGAAGGCCUUCGGGUUGUAAAGUUCUUUCGGUAGCGAGGCGUUGACUACAGAAGAAGCACCGGCGCACUCCGUGCCAGCAGCCGCGGUAAUAC